This 148-nucleotide signal recognition particle RNA is filed under the name Chlorocebus sabaeus (green monkey). RNAcentral describes it as "Metazoan signal recognition particle RNA". It matches the Rfam family "Metazoan signal recognition particle RNA". Rfam says of the family: The signal recognition particle (SRP) is a universally conserved ribonucleoprotein. It is involved in the co-translational targeting of proteins to membranes. The eukaryotic SRP consists of a 300-nucleotide 7S RNA and six proteins: SRPs 72, 68, 54, 19, 14, and 9. Lineage: Eukaryota; Metazoa; Chordata; Mammalia; Primates; Cercopithecidae. The record is from Rfam by way of RNAcentral.
GCCAGGUGUAGUGGUGCACAUCUGUAGUCCCAGCUCCUUGGGAGGCUGAGGCAGGAGGAUUGCUUGAGCCCAGGAGUUCAAGGCUGCAGUGAACUAUGAUUGCACCACUGCACUCCAGCCUGGGCGACAGAGCAAGACCCUAUCUCUA